CAAAGGGAAGACCAAUGGAGGGAGAAUCCCUCACCUGGAAGGCAGACUCCACUGCACCUGUCAAUAGAAUGAUGGAAGGAUCAGGAGCUCCACGCAUAAUCUCUUAAUUACGUGUGACCUAUUUUAAACCAUCAGAACUCAAAACACAGUUCAUUCAGGUUGAAGAAUGGACUAUACUGUCAGCAUCAGGAGUUAGGACCUGGACAAUCUGGAUCCUGAGAAUGACUUGAAAAAUAAUUUGUUUAAAUCAGAGAUAAUAAGAUAUGCCUUAGAAAUAUGCACCAUACUUUGAUACAUCAAACUGCUGGAACAAGAGGAAGAAGUUGUCAAGAUCAGGAUGAUGGUAGAAAAAUUGAAAUUAAGACAGGAGCUGUUGGCAUCUGAAAUCUUUUACAUGAAAAUGGAAAACUCAGAUAACAAUUGAUGCAUUGGGGGAAGGACCCAAGAAAAAGGUCGGAUUCAAGAUUACUUAUUUACUUAUGUACUAAUUCUAUUUAAUGUGUUUUAAAAAUAUAAUAAAACCUCUCUAAAC
RNAcentral lists this long non-coding RNA (532 nucleotides) under Vulpes vulpes (red fox). RNAcentral's name for it is "lncRNA (ENSVVUG00000000719.1)". The record is from RNAcentral. Lineage: Eukaryota; Metazoa; Chordata; Mammalia; Carnivora; Canidae.